Molecule: long non-coding RNA, 280 nt
Organism: Monomorium pharaonis (pharaoh ant)
Lineage: Eukaryota; Metazoa; Arthropoda; Insecta; Hymenoptera; Formicidae
Exons: 2
Source: RefSeq, a predicted model, not a curated record
GAUUACUGCAUAAGAAGUCUUCGUCUCCUUUGGCACAAAAGAUACAUGCAGUAAAUAUUAUUAUUACUAUUUUAAAAUGCACGUUAGCAAUUAAUGACAUAAUAGUAACUUAAUGUAACGAAAUCGAAUAUUGCAAGAUGUCGGUACUAAAGCAAGAUCGUUGAAAUAUUUUUAUGAUAUAUGUAUUCCAAAUUUGUCGACAAGAUAUCCUUGCUGUACAUUUCAAACGUAUUGUUUUUAGAGAAUUUUAUUUGGUGUUGAAAUAUAAUCCAUAUUGAUC